Long non-coding RNA from Carassius carassius (crucian carp), 902 nucleotides. RefSeq lists it as uncharacterized. The record is from RefSeq and is a predicted model, not a curated record. NCBI's taxonomy places the organism in Eukaryota, Metazoa, Chordata, Actinopteri, Cypriniformes, Cyprinidae. The transcript is spliced from 3 exons.
CAUUUACAGACACUGGCCACUUCUUUUGAAUCUGUUUGCUAUUGUUUUGACUGCAUUUAUUCUAUUGUAGGUCACUGGCUCUACCUGGAGGCGUCCUCUGUACCUGCAAUCAAAAAACUAGUAUGGCAUCCAAACUCUCUCAGAGACCAAACUUGGAUGUCAACAAACAUCACAAGGACAAGAAUCUUAUAACAAAUGCAUGGCAAAGUAUGACCACAGCGUUCCAUCAGAUAUCAGAGAAUGAAGCGAGAGAUUCCAGCCAUCCUCAGUCAUUUCUCGGCCAACAGAGAUUGUCUGCUGCUCUCAGGAGGGUCCAGCUCAGCAAAGACAAAUCAAAAUAAUACUAUAAACUUUGUUCCAUAUUAGUCCUAUAGUGCACAGGGCAUUGAUGAGACACAAAGUCAUUGGCUCCACCUGCUGGACACUGAAUGCGUUUACAUGCACAAUUAUGCUGAUAGACUGUAUUUAUUAUAUAUACAUACACUUAGUAAAUAUGCAAAUAAGAAAAUGUCACAAAAUAACUUCAUAACAUAACCAAACCAAACCAAGUUAUUCCAGAUAGUGUAUUGUCCUCUGGUAUUAUCUGAUCAUAUUUCAGUCUUCUGCAAACACACCUGUGAGACUUCACGUCUUAGCUUUUUUUAAUCCUAUGGUAAAAAUGUAAUUGUUUUAUUUUAAGUGCAAAACAACCAACGAUUUUUAGAGUGGGUUUUUUGUCUUUAUUUAGCAAUAGCCAAUUAUUACAAGCCAAAAAUGGAUUUGUUGUUUGGAUUGUUCAAUUAUAUAUAAUUGAAAAUUUCGUUUGGUCCUCAUGAAGUGUUUUGAAAAUUUAAAUGUGGAUCUUUGAUGAAAGAUUAAAUUGUAAUAAGCAUUAUGUGGCUCAGUCCAAAAUCAAAGUUGCA